AAAUCCAUUGGACACUGCGAUAUUCAGAGGUCCAUGAAAACAGAUUUGAGUAAGGAGAGAAGGAGAUUUGCGAAUGGGUCCAAAGAAUCUGAGAGAAAGAGAGAAGAAAGGAGGGCGGUUUCGGAAAUCAAAGGAUCCGAACCCGAAAGAAGACGAUCUAUCGGAUAGUGUAAAUUCAAACAGAGAUAGGUAUUUGGAUUUUGAAGGCUUGAACCUCAAAGGCGUUUUAAAACAGCGGCUUUCAAAUCCAUUUGCAGGUCACUGUCUGCUUCUACAUAGCAAGAG
RNAcentral lists this unclassified non-coding RNA (285 nucleotides) under Hevea brasiliensis (rubber tree). Lineage: Eukaryota; Viridiplantae; Streptophyta; Magnoliopsida; Malpighiales; Euphorbiaceae. The record is from RNAcentral.